UACGAAGGUUGCAAGCGUUACUCGGAAUUACUAGGCGUAAAGGGCAGGUAGGUGGUUUGGUAAGUCUAUUGUGAAAGCUCCCGGCUUAACUGGGAGAGGCCAAUGGAUACUGCCAAGCUUGAGUAUAGGAGAGGUUACUGGAAUUCCCGGUGUAGCGGUGAAAUGCGCAGAUAUCGGGAGGAACACCAAUGGCGAAAGCAGGUAACUGGACUAUUACUGACACUCAACUGCGAAAAGCUAGGGGAGCAAACAGG
Molecule: ribosomal RNA, 254 nt
Filed under: uncultured bacterium
Lineage: Bacteria
Description: partial 16S ribosomal RNA
Rfam family: Bacterial small subunit ribosomal RNA
Source: RNAcentral